GAUGAAGAACGUAGCGAAAUGCGAUAAGUAAUGUGAAUUGCAGAAUUCCGUGAAUCAUCGAAUCUUUGAACGCACAUUGCGCCCGCUGGUAUUCCGGCGGGCAUGCCUGUUCGAGCGUCAUUUCAACCCUCAAGCCCCCGGGUUUGGUGUUGGGGAUCGGCUCUGCCCUUCUGGGCGGUGCCGCCCCCGAAAUACAUUGGCGGUCUCGCUGCAGCCUCCAUUGCGUAGUAGCUAACACCUCGCAACUGGAACGCGGCGCGGCCAUGCCGUAAAACCCCAACUUCUGAAUGUUGACCUCGGAUCAGGUAGGAAUACCCGCUGAACUUAAGCAUAUCAAUAAGCGGAGGA
Molecule: unclassified non-coding RNA, 348 nt
Filed under: soil metagenome
Description: partial contains 5.8S ribosomal RNA, internal transcribed spacer 2, and large subunit ribosomal RNA
Rfam family: 5.8S ribosomal RNA (bases 1-120)
Source: RNAcentral